GUUAGGAAUACGGCAACAUAACGUGACUUGAAGCAGUUGGCACCGCACAACAGUCCCAGUGUCCUUUUAUUUUAUUUUACUAUUUUUUGGCUUCUUGAAGGCACUACAAAACAUGUGAAGUGAGCUCUUGUGUCACAAAUGAUUUUUAUUGGGCUACUUAUAGUCACUUUUUUUCAUCGAUAUUCUUUUGUCACUUAAUGCUAACGAGUAAAUGGUAAUUCUAGUUUAUUGCUUCCGCUGAUACAACAGUUAGAACAGUUACACAGCUAGCGAGCGCAUGUUGAGCGAUGACGCGCCCACUUUCACCUGCAACAAAAAGCGGUCUAAUCGGCAAGCAAAGUACUCAUAUGAGGAAAUCGUCUAAUUGACCAGCUAAUUUCUGCAAAUGAGAGUGUUGUUGUGCGUGCCGGCUUCGAGGUUCAGGCGCUUUAUUAAAUUAAAGUGGUGGCGACAGACGACAGGCGGCACUUCUACCGCGCGCCUUGCAAAGUAUGAACUUUUGCUUAUCUUAUUGAAAAUUGUUUAAUAAAACUUUAAUUAAUUUUAUUUUAUAAUUUUAAUUUCGUAUGAAGUAAGUAAUAUUAAUUAUAGCAAUGCUUUGCAUUUGAAAACUUCUAACACUCCCACGCUUGACUAGUCGUUUGUAUGCGCUCAUCCGUUGGCGACCUUUAAACUGAGCGACUGCCUUCAUUUGCCUUGUCUUUGCGGUAACUUCUGCUCGAGCGCUCGAAUGUAGCACUAGAUGGCUAGUUGUGGCGCGAUUUGCUUGUACAAACGGUAGUGUGUGUGUAUGUGUAUAUAUGCGAUAUAUAAAGUGCUAUGUAGUUAAUGGAAUUUUGGCUGCCGCAGCUCAUUCAUCAAAACACAAGCAAGAAAAAAGUGCCAUUUGUGCUAAGUAAAGGCGCUGAGGCGGGGUCAACGGCAGACGCAGGGCUAAUUCAAUGUUUAAUUUAUAGGUUUUCAUUGAUUUCACUUGUCUUCUUUAACUAAUUUAUAUAUAUGUAUGUACAUAUGUAUAUGUAGUAAGAUUGUAUCAUAAUCGCACUGGCAACUAGACUCUUUUUGGGCCACGCUUUUUGUGUGUUUGUGGCAUGUUAGAUAGUAUCAGGCAACAUAAUAAGCAAAUGCUUAACUUAUAAAUUUGUUUGUUGGUGACUUCAAGAUGUUAAAAAUUAAUUAAUUAUAAUUAAUUAGAGUUUUGUUACUGCAACAAAUAUUUUUUUUCGUAACUGGAUUUCGAACCUGCGACCAAUUGUUAUUUGGUCAAGCGCACACUCACUUAUGUGUCAUAUACAUACAUACAUACAUACAUACAUACAAACUUAAUGUUCUAAUAAAUAUCUUCCUCUAUUAGAUUUGUUUACUUUGCGAACAGCGACUCUUGGCGCACUGCCCAGGUGGAAUAACAGAAUAAAUUUAAAAAUUAGAGCUUAAUUAGAAAAACAACUAAAAUUAUAUAUUUAUUUAUUAAAACAAAAAUUUAAUUAUUGUUGUUGUUGUACAAGAGUAAAUAAAUUAAUUAGAAAUACGAAAAUUAAAUAUUAAAAAAAAGAAAUUUAAAAUAUAAUUACGAUGUGUUGUUGUUGUUGUGAUAUUGAAGUAACGAAAUGCAGAUAUUUGUUGUUGUUUUUACAGUAGUUGUACAAGAGUAAACUAAUUAAUUAGAAAUACGAAAAUACUUUUUCGACUACCAAUAUAAUUACGAUGUGUUGUUGUUGUUGUAAUAUAGUGAUUAGCAGAUGUUUGUGCCUACCGGUCCAGCUAGCAUACCCUAUUGCUUCUUAACAAUACGGAAAGUUCCCAAAAUAUGUAUUAGUAGGGACCACUACAAGCCACUCUGAAUCAUUGAGAGGAGAACUGACGUGCCAUACAUCAGCAAAAGGCUUAAAGAUGUUAGUCAACAUAUGCCAUAAAAAACAUAUGGCAAAUAAAUGUGCGCCUAAAAAGCUGCUACGUUCAGUAUAAAAGCGGAAAUUUAUGUGUGUGUGAAUAUAUUCACAAAAUAAUACGUAUGUACGCAUACGUCUAGAACGAAGAGAAACCAAGAAGCAAUUUCACUAUUUUAUGUAAUUUUUAAUGUAUGUAAAGUUCGAAUAACAUUCAUCCUAAUACUAUAAUAAAGAAAAUUAUGUUAAUGAAAGCGGUUGUUAUAACA
Bactrocera neohumeralis is the source of this 2155-nucleotide long non-coding RNA. RefSeq lists it as uncharacterized. NCBI's taxonomy places the organism in Eukaryota, Metazoa, Arthropoda, Insecta, Diptera, Tephritidae. The transcript has 3 exons. The record is from RefSeq and is a predicted model, not a curated record.